Molecule: ribosomal RNA, 550 nt
Filed under: uncultured Glomeromycotina
Lineage: Eukaryota; Fungi; Glomeromycota
Description: SSU rRNA
Rfam family: Eukaryotic small subunit ribosomal RNA
Source: RNAcentral
UUGGAGGGCAAGUCUGGUGCCAGCAGCCGCGGUAAUUCCAGCUCCAAUAGCGUAUAUUAAAGUUGUUGCAGUUAAAAAGCUCGUUGUUGAAUUUCGGGAUCAAUAUGUCGGUCGUGCCUUCGGUACGUACUGGCAUCAUUGGUUUCUCCCUUCUGACAAACCAUGAUGUCAUUAAUUUGGUGUUAUGGGGAGUUAGGACUGUUACUUUGAAAAAAUUAGGGUGUUUAAAGCAGGCAUUAGCUUGAAUACAUUAGCAUGGAAUAAUGAAAUAGGACGUUUGACCCUAUUUUGUUGGUUUCUAGGAUCGACGUAAUGAUUAAUAGGGAUAGUUGGGGGGCAUUAGUAUUCAAUUGUCAGAGGUGAAAUUCUUGGAUUUAUUGAAGACUAACUACUGCGAAAGCAUUUGCCAAGGAUGUUUUCAUUAAUCAAGAACGAAAGUUAGGGGAUCGAAGACGAUCAGAUACCGUCGUAGUCUUAACCAUAAACUAUGCCGACUAGGGAUCGGAUGAUGUUAAUUUUUUAAUGACUCAUUCGGCGCCUUACGGGAAAC